AUUGAACGCUGGCGGCAUGCUUUACACAUGCAAGUCGAACGGUAACAGGCCUUCGGGUGCUGACGAGUGGCGAACGGGUGAGUAAUGCAUCGGAACGUACCCAGAGGUGGGGGAUAACGCAGCGAAAGCUGUGCUAAUACCGCAUGUGAUCUGAGGAUGAAAGCGGGGGACCGAGCAGCAAUGUUUGGCCUCGCGCCUUUGGAGGGCCGGAUGUCGGAUUGGUUAGUUGGUGGGGUAAAGGCCUACCAAGGCGACGAUCCGUAGCUGGUCUGAGAGGACGACCAGCCACACUGGGACUGAGACACGGCCCAGACUCCUACGGGAGGCAGCAGUGGGGAAUUUUGGACAAUGGGCGCAAGCCUGAUCCAGCAAUGCCGCGUGCGGGAAGAAGGCCUUCGGGUUGUAAACCGCUUUUGGCAGGAACGAAACGGUGUCCGCUAAUACCGGGCGCUAAUGACGUUACCUGCAGAAUAAGCACCGGCUAACUACGUG
This 492-nucleotide ribosomal RNA is filed under the name uncultured bacterium. RNAcentral describes it as "partial 16S ribosomal RNA". It matches the Rfam family "Bacterial small subunit ribosomal RNA", at positions 30 to 507 of the family's 1533-position model. The record is from RNAcentral.